CCCUUAGAUGUUCUGGGCUGCACGCGCGCUACACUGACACACUCAGCGAGUUCCUGUACCGAGAGGUUCGGGUAAUCAUGUGAGCGUGUGUCGUGAUGGGGAUAGAAUAUUGUAAUUAUUGCUCUUCAACGAGGAAUUCCUAGUAAGCGCAAGUCAGCAGCUUGCGCUGAUUACGUCCCUGCCCUUUGUACACACCGCCCGUCGCUCCUACCGAUUGGGUGAUCCGGUGAAUGACUCGGACUUUGACGUUCCUAGACACUAGGUUCGUCGAGGGAAGUUUUGUGAACCUUAUCACUUGGAGGAAGGAGAANUCGUANCA
Molecule: ribosomal RNA, 319 nt
Filed under: uncultured eukaryote
Lineage: Eukaryota
Description: partial 18S ribosomal RNA
Rfam family: Eukaryotic small subunit ribosomal RNA
Source: RNAcentral